Oncorhynchus keta (chum salmon) is the source of this 846-nucleotide long non-coding RNA. RefSeq lists it as uncharacterized. Lineage: Eukaryota; Metazoa; Chordata; Actinopteri; Salmoniformes; Salmonidae. The transcript is spliced from 4 exons. The record is from RefSeq and is a predicted model, not a curated record.
UAGACGACCAUAGGUGAGGAGGAGGAGUAGACGACCAUAGGUGAGGAGGAGGAGUAGACGAUCAUAGGUGAGGAGGAGGAGGAGUAGACAAUCAUAGAUGAGGAGGAGUAGACAAUCAUAGGUGAGGAGGAGUAGACAAUCAUAGGUGAGGAGGAGGAGGAGUAGACAAUCAUAGGUGAGGAGGAGUAGACAAUCAUAGGUGAGGAGGAGUAGACAAUCAUAGGUGAGGAGGAGUAGACAAUCAUAGGUGAGGAGGAGUAGACAAUCAUAGGUGAGGAGGAGGAGGAGUAGACAAUCAUAGGUGAGGAGGAGUAGACGAUCAUAGGUGAGGAGGAGUAGACGAUCAUAGGUGAGGAGGAGUAGACGAUCAUAGGUGAGGAGGAGGAGUAGACGAUCAUAGGUGAGGAGGAGGAGUAGACGACCAUAGGUGAGGAGGAGGAGUAGACGAUCAUAGGUGAGGAGGAGGAGUAGACGAUCAUAGGUGAGGAGGAGGAGGAGUAGACAAUCAUAGGUGAGGAGGAGGAGUAGGCGAUCAUAGGUGAGGAGGAGGAGUAGGCGACCAUAGGUGAGGAGGAGGAGUAGGCGACCAUAGGUGAGGAGGAGGAGUAGACGAUCAUAGGUGAGGAGGAGGAGUAGACGACCAUAGGUGAGGAGGAGGAGUAGACGACCAUAGGUGAGGAGGAGGAGUAGACGACCAUAGGUGAGGAGGAGGAGUAGACGACCAUAGGUGAGGAGGAGGAGUAGACGACCAUAGGUGAGGAGGAGGAGUAGACGACCAUAGGUGAGGAGGAGGAGUAGACGACCAUAGGUGAGGAGGAGGAGUAGACGACCAUAGGUGAGGAGGAG